AGUCUCAGUUCGGAUCGCAGGCUGCAACUCGCCUGCGUGAAGUUGGAAUUGCUAGUAAUCGCGGAUCAGCAUGCCGCGGUGAAUACGUUCCCGGGCCUUGUACACACCGCCCGUCACACCAUGAGAGUUGGGGAUACCCGAAGCCUGUGAGCUAACUUUUAGAGGCAGCAGUCGAAGGUAGAAUCAAUGAUUGGGGUGAAGUCGUAACAAGGUACC
RNAcentral lists this ribosomal RNA (216 nucleotides) under uncultured bacterium. RNAcentral's name for it is "partial 16S ribosomal RNA". It matches the Rfam family "Bacterial small subunit ribosomal RNA", at positions 1284 to 1500 of the family's 1533-position model. The record is from RNAcentral.